CCUACGGGAGACAGCAGUGAGGAAUAUUGGUCAAUGGGCGAGAGCCUGAACCAGCCAAGUCGCGUGAGGGAGUACUGCCCUAUGGGUUGUAAACCUCUUUUGUCGGGGAGCAAAAGCCGGACGUGUCCGGCUGUGAGAUUACCAGAAGAAAAAGCAUCGGCUAACUCCGGGCCAACAGCCGAGGUAAUACGGAGGAUGCGAGCGUUAUCGGGAUUUAUUGGGGUUACAGGGUGCGCAGGCGGAUUUUUAAGUCAGCGGUAAAAUCGUGGGGCUCAACCCCAUCCAGCCGUUGAAACUGGUGAUCUAGAGUGUGCGAGAGGGAUGCGGAAUGCGUGGUGGAGCGGUGAAAUGCAUAGAUAUCACGCGGAACCCCGAUUGCGAAGGCAGCAUACCGGUGCCCAACUGACGCUCAGGCACGAAAGCGUGGGUAUCGAACAGGAUUAGAUACCCCGGUAGUC
This 458-nucleotide ribosomal RNA is filed under the name uncultured bacterium. RNAcentral's name for it is "partial 16S ribosomal RNA". It matches the Rfam family "Bacterial small subunit ribosomal RNA", at positions 338 to 795 of the family's 1533-position model. The record is from RNAcentral.